Molecule: small nuclear RNA, 107 nt
Organism: Molossus molossus (Pallas's mastiff bat)
Lineage: Eukaryota; Metazoa; Chordata; Mammalia; Chiroptera; Molossidae
Source: RefSeq, a predicted model, not a curated record
AUGCUCACUGUAGCAGCACGUAUACUAAAACUGGAAUGAUACAGAGAAGAUUAGUAUGACCCCCAUGCAAGGAUGACAGGCAAAUUUAUAAAUCGCUUUAAAAAAUC